ACUACAACAGAUACAAAAAGCAAAACAACACUACUUUACAGAGCAAAUUCUCAGCUACAAAAAAACUCUUUUUCAACACAAUCACCACCAUUAGCUGUGCAUUUUCACCAGCAAUAAUUCAGCAGGAGCCUGAGUGCUGUGCUCAUAAAAGUCUGCAUCAGUGGAGGUGAUCCACUGUUCUACAGCUGCUGUGAUGGUGUGGUUGCUAGGAAAAUGUUGCCUAAGCAGUCCAUCUUUCAUCAGCCCAAACAGAUGGAAAUCAGAAGAUGCCAAAUCAGGACUAGAUGGUGGAUGUGGCUGGACAGUCCAGCAGAGAUUGGCAAUGUGCUCCAUCGUCUUCAAACAGAUAAAAUGGCAGACAUCACAGUGGUGGGAAUGGCACAUUAGUCCUCAUCUGGGAGGAGAACACAUCUCACUGUCUAACUCAGAAAACAGCUGUUUUCUUCGGUGACUUUCUUCUUGAUCUUCAAAACAAAAGCCUCCCAUGCCCAUGACCAGUGAAGCUUGCCUCAUUCCCAGGACGAUCCCUGUUGGAAACCCAAGUCCAGCCUUACCCCAUCAAGCUUUAUGGCCUCCUAGGGCUUCCCAAGAAAGGAUCCCAGCUGGUGAUCUGGUUGUCACCACGAUUAGCAGGAGUCUUCCCAGGGCAUCAUGAUCUUCCACAUGAGAAAUUCCUCAAGUACUGACUAUUGGCAGGAUGACAGAAGCACUUCUGCAUGCAUCUCCCAGAGGAAACCCAGAGGGCAGAAUUUGAGCCAUAAGAUAUCUCAAAUAAGGAGAUCUGGACAUGAUCUCAGGGGCUGGUGGUGUCCAGGACCAAAUUGGAGCCACAUCACACCCAGUGCUGAGGAGCCACAUCAUGCCCAGUGCAGAGGAGUCAUGUCAGUGGAGCUGGAAUUCUUCUCAUUAUUUGAAGCACUGCAGCUUUCCUGUACUCACUCUUUUGCAUAAGAUGGUCUGUCUCCUUAUUCCCUGACUCCUGUGAUGCCAGACCCAGUGGCUCACCAAUCUAUGACCUGGACACAGGCCUCCAUGGGUACAAAUAUAAACUAAUAAAGGGGAAAUAAUGGAAAUGGGUAAGUGUUUCUUUGCUACCUUGAACCUUUAUCACCCAUCUUUGCUUUACACCAGGUUUUGCUUUUUUUCCCACGAGACACAAUGCAUCCAGUUUUCUCUCUUCACUGAGUAACACAUCUGAGAAUUAUAAUGUGAGGAGGAAAAAAUCUGCUAUUUGAAUACUGAGUUACAAUAGACAAAACUUGGGCUCUUGUAUUAACUUGAGGGACAGGUAGUUUCUCCACUUGUCAGCAGUCAGCAGUCGAUGUUGUAAGUUUAAGGGGUAUAAAAAAAUAUGCAUAAGAAAUCCUCCUUUAUUCUUUAUUUUCUUGUUUAAAUUUCCUUGCAGAAAGGGAUUUGGGUUGUGAUGUUACUUUCAAGAGGUCUGCUUGGAAAAACAAAUCUGAAAAAAAGCUGCAAAUCAUUAUUGCAAAUUAAUAUAAGCAAGACUUGUGCUGGGGAGUCUGGCUGCUGUAACUACAGUAAUACCAAAAAGAGUUGUACUCUGCAACUCUGGAAACAUGUCAGGCACAUGAUCCUGUUUUUCUUUUGAAGUUCCUUCUCCAGAAAUAUUAAAGAAAUAGCCUGUAAACUGUUGAAUUCACCAUGCACUGCUGAACAGCACCCUAUAAGGAAAACGAGCACAAAGGAAUUUAGACAGGACCAUGGAAAUCUCUACAGGUUACUUUCUAAAUAACUCUGAAACUAUUUUCUCAGAUACAUUAAACACAGAAAGAAUAAGAGCAGGAGAAUACCUCGACCCAGUUCAACCAGUUUCAGCUGGUUCAAGCCUAUUCUCACCCUCUCCCUCCCAAGUCACUUUUCCAGGAGCAAGUGUUCGCUUUCUGUAUGCUCAUAUGUAAAUCUGACACUGACCUUUUUCUACACUGCAUUUAUCAAUGCAAAUCUGAACCCAUUCUUAAGACCAAAGAAUAUCUGCAAGCCAUCUAAAUGGUCCAAUUAGGACAUAACUAUCUGCACUAUGGUUUUGUACUCCACUAAAUAGCUUGGCAUCAGCUCCUUUAAACUAGGCAUGCUGAGUUAGCUGGGGUUCAUGUUAACCUUAUCUAUGGCAUCAGAACCAAAAUUUGUGUGUAAAGAACAAAUUAUCCCUUUCAUGAUUACAUUCAGUAUCAUGUCAUGCAAGAGGUAUGCACAACAGGGAUUUCAGCCUGCUGUAGGUUUUCCUGUCAUCACGUUACCUUAAAAACAAUAACUUGAUAAGCUAUUCAGAGCCUGAGGAUCCUGUGCCGGGGAGUUUUGAGUUUCAAGGUAUCUUCCUCUACCGAGGCAAAGAAUAAUAAUCAGCCAUGGCCCAGGUUAUCAGCUUCCUCUGUUACAGUGUUGUGUGAUUUUGCUCCGUGGUGAUGCAGCACUGCAAUGAUUUAUAUCAAAGCAAGCAAACUUCAAGCUGAAACUGCAAAAAUACAGGUAAGGUCAGUGAUAGGAACUGCUAAAAUGUUGCAGCUUCUCUGAAGCUGCAAAGGAGCCCACUACAAACACUACAAAGCUGAGAACGUUUCCCUGGUCUUUGAUUUCUGAUUUUUGAAAGGUAGUAAUAGAGCCAGCAGGUAACCUAAGACAAUCAGGGAAUAUUUUAACAGUGCUGCCAUGUAUCUGAAUUUCACCUAUUGCUUUAUGCGAUUUAUAAAUUCCUUUCAUUCAUGGAAAGACAGAAAGGUGUUACAAAUAAAAUUAAGGUCUGUAGAGGAUGAUUAUGCAAGGAAGUGAUUAUGAUUGGUAGCAAUUAUUUACCUGUAUACAGUCAUGGGCAUUAAUAAUGGCAAAGGUACGUGAUGGUAAUACUAGGUGUUAUUAAAAAGAAUGAUGGGAGUGAUUCAGUAGUUGGUUAAUUAGCGGAGGGUUAUAACACAGGUGUAAGAAGAAAACUUCUUUCUUCCUUAUUGUUCUGUGUCUGAAAAGUGGGACAAGUGAAACUAUGGCCAGAGCACUGUGCUUGAAAACCACACAUCUGCACCCAAGGACCAAAGUGACCCUAAUUGCUGACACAUUCUGGCAGCAUUCUCUGAAGGUAGUUUCAUGAUGUAAAGUUUUUUUCCAGUCUUUGCCUCCAUGAAACAUGUUUGUCCUGAUAUAAUUGCAGGCACGCAAAGGGAGCUUGUUGGCCCCCAUCUCUUCCAGUCUUCCUGCACACACCCACUCAGGUAUCAGCGGCAGUGUCUCUGCACCUCUCCCUAUCAGCACUCUGACUAUUUGCUAUGUCAAGCUCUUCUAGACCUGUUUCCCUUUUUAAAUGAUUUAUACUCAAUCAUUCUCUUUGUAGCUUAAUGUUCAAUUCAUGGUCUCCAGCCCCCCCUCCCCCCAACGUGAUCUUGUAGGAAGCACCUGAAGCAUGGUAAAACCCCAAUUCUCUCUCUUGACUAGCUGAUCCAUUUCACCUGUUAGGUUUUUUGUUUGUUUGUUUGUUUGUUUUUGUUUUUUUUCCUCUGAAAUGAUUCACUUCUAAACUUUCUCUCUGAACCAGCCACCAGAUGUUCAAGGGACCAAGAGGUAGAAGCUAGCAGCUUUUUCUCAUUCUGAUAUCAAUGUCUGUGUGUGUAAAAAUCAGAAAGCUGAGAGGAGUUGGGCAGUGGGGAGACCUUUGUCAUGCUCCCUAAAGAUCCUUCUACUGGAAAAUGAUGUCAGGCUUGUAUUCAUUACUAUACAUCUUAGUUAACUGAGUUUAUGUUUACUGUAGAUUUUUUCUCAUAGUGGUUCCAUCACGAUUGGGAUUUUGUAUUAGUGCUAGGUAACUGAACAGAUUUUAUGUUAGUAAUGAGUACAUUAAUUUUAAAAUUCACUUUUUGCCAACCACUCUUUUACUCUUCAUGCAUUCUCAGAAAGUCUAAGUAUGCCACUGUUGCCAGUAAUAAUUUUUUGUUGUUGUUGCAUUCAAAGGCAUAAGGGUGUUUUGUUGAACCAUUUAACAAAAACCCUUCUUAGGACUGCCUAUUGUGAUUAUUGGGAACUAAGGCUCUAUGGGAAAAUUGAAAUAUGUGUUCUGAGUUACCUAAUGGCGCACGUUACUAGUAUAGUUCCCUUUCAUUCCUUAAAGAUCUCAUCUUUACCUCUGCUCCGUUCUUUAGAUAACAUGCUAAAUACUUCAUACUGUAUUUUUAAAACAAAAGUGAGCAUUUUUCAUACCUUUUAUCCUCUACGGAGUCAUGUGCUGUAGAGGAUUGCUAUUAGUGUGACUUUCUGGAUCUUCAAUACAUACUGUUUUCUAAAAACUUUCACGCAAUUGGUCCUUUCAAUGCUAUUUCAGGGUGUGUUGGUUUUCAGGAAACAGAGGCAUCACAGCAGAAGUGUUACUGGUAUGUUUAUUAGGAUAAAUAAAUGUGCUUUCACAUCUGUAUUUAAAUUGUUCUUUGAUGAGCUUGUCAGGACAGUACACUCAGAACAGCAUUGGAGUACUAAUACAGUAAUGGGGAAAAUAUCACCUUCGUUCUUUCUUGGAAGAUGUGGCUGCAAACAGCAGAAAGCUGGGUGUAUGGGAAGUGUUGCUGGUGCUGUGACACUAUGGCUGUGGGCAGCAGGGCACAGGGCUCAAGGUGGAGCUAGGCUGGAAACACCAGGAAGGAUAUGUUGAGAAAAUAGCAAUAUUUUUGUGACUUUUCCCUUCAGGGCAGCUGACACACCAGGCAAAGAGGAUGCUUUGAGGGACUGGGAUGCUCCUCUCUGCUGGGAGCAAGGCAGGAGCUGGUGCCACAGCUGGCUGCUGUGCAUCCCCUUGUCUCACACCACUGCAAGUGCCUGGGGAGGGAAGCAGGCUCCUCUGGGAGCAGCAAGCACUGGGCAGCCCACGAGCACUGGGCGGUGGGAACAUAUGGGGUUUUUAACUUCGCCUAAUAAAAACCCAGCUGCCGGAGGCAAGCGAGAGGAUGGGAAUGUGAUUGUUCUCUGCCUGGCCUCAUUGUGAAGCUUGCUGUUGAAUUCCAUGCUAGCGGAGCCAAAAACAGCAGAACUAGAAUUAAAAUGUAGUUCUAAGGCAUAAUAGCAUGUUUAUUUUUUUGUUUUUCUAAUAGCGUGAUUAGGAAAGUUGAUCCUUUAUGGAAUACUUGGCUAAAAUGAAAAGGGCGUCAAUAUUUUUUUUUUCCAAAUAAAUACAGAUUUGAAUUUCAUCAAACAGGAUCCUUGUAAAAAUAAUUACAAAAACAGAUAUUAGCUGAGCGUGAGCCAAACAACCCCUUGUUUACCUGAAUUAGAAAAAGGAUGAUUAAUGGUAAUGAGCGUGUUACAUUACUCAUUUGUCAAAAAAGAUCAAUAAUGUUAAAUACCCCAGGAAUGUCAUCAAGCUGCCCCCAGUGCUCUGCAAGUUUUAUGAACAAUUCUAGCAGAAAACCCUAUCUGAGGGACCGCUCCUCCACACCUAUAGAGCUGCCUCCCUCCUCCUGUCCCUUCUCCUCGCUUGGUGCUGAGGAACAAGCCCUGCUCGUAGGCAGAAAAAGAAUUCAAAAAUAAGGAUGGCCAUUUUUUUUUAACUUUAGUUCGGUUAUUUUGCAGUUCGGAUCAUUUCAUGAGAACUGAUAUAGUUUCAGUUAGGCAAAACGUUAACUCCACAGAUAGGAUGGAGGAGGAUGGGUGAGCCCAUCAGUGCUGCCUGUGCACCCAGAGGUGGGGCGGUGGGCCCUGCUGGCCCUGCUGCCAUCAUGCAAUGCACAAGAGAGCCUGGGGAGAGGCCGGGCUGUUGAGGGAUCACACUUUGCUUGUGGCAACAUUCUCUCUCCUUAGCUGCUCUGUAAUUAGUUUUUCGUUUCUGUGCUUCUUCGCAAUGCAAUGCAAAUUCCUGCAGGCAGCAGCACCUGCCAUGGAGGACCAAUUAGUGGUCACUGUGGGAGAACAUGUGCUGCUGUACUGAGGUGGUGCUGAGCUGGUUCCUAUUACGAGCCUUUUUCCAUCAAGAGUCCUGAGAUAUCAGGAAAUGGUGGAGCAAUAAAGCCUAUGUAAGAGUUUAAAAACAAAUGCUUAGAAUUUAUAUUAAUUAAAUGAGCUCUGACUAGUAAUUUUCUGGAAAACCUUCUCAGAGUUAUGUUAACAUUCAGGUUCUUUAGAUUCAGGAAGGACACAUUCCCUUAGUUUGCAUAAAGUGGGAUACAGACUGUCAUAAAAUCUUACUGGUUUUUCAGAUUCCUCCUCUGAUCCUGAGUCAAUUUACCUUCCCCUUGGCUUGCUUUUUCCACCUACAAAUUAUGUACAUUGCUAUUUAAGUACCUGACAGAGAAAUUUCAAGUUUUAAUUAGUGUUUGUAAAAUGCUUUGGGUUACUUGGAUCAAAGUGUGAUUUAUUAUUCAGUAAUGUAUAUUACUGCACUGUAGGUGUGCAUGUGCGUGAUGCAAAGUGGGGUAACAGUUAAUCUAUUCAUUUGUACUUUAUUAUCUGUUUAUAUAAAAUGGGUUGCUAAGGUUCGUAUUCUUUAAUUUCCAACAAGUUUGAUCAAAGGUGUUUUGAUUUUUCACAACCUUGACUUUAAUACAUACUGCAGUGCAUUUUUAUGUGGAAAAAAUCUUAUCGUAUGAAGGGAAAGGGCGACUAACACUCUGAAUUGGAAUCUUCUGUAUUUUUUAAUUGAGCUUUUUGGUCCAUCUGAUAAAGAACACAUGCAUAUCACACUGGCUUAAAGGCAUCAUAGGAGAUGAGGUUUGAGUUCUCCGUUGUGAUUUUAGGACAGCAUGCUGGUGAAAAUCCCAUCAAAGCUAUGAUGUUCAGCUCACUGGGAUACUGGAGUGUGCUGGAACCCAGGACUAUGCAGGCCAGGCGUAUGAGCACUAUUAACAGAAUUUGCUUUCACUAAUCCUUGUGUGUGAGACCCAGCAGACUGGGCCAAGCCAGGAAUUGUAUAUCUACAUCCUCAGAGAGAUAAUUUGCCAGUAGGAGUGUCUCCCACCUGAGUAUUCAGACUCUGAAUCAAUCAUCUUUGUUUACAUUUUCUUGAUAUGAGCAGAUUUCUCUGCAAGUUGUUUUAAGUACAGGCGAUUUUCCACAUGUUGAGAAUGUCAGACUAAGAAAGCCUGAGAUUCACUCCAGUGCAAAUCCAUGCUUCCAGAGGUACCUGGAAAGCUUGAGCCAGCCAAUUCAAUGUGUGCUAUCACCAAUAGCAUCAUUCAGGUCCUCUUAAACCUUAAUUUCUUUCCAUCUCUGCCCUGUUCACUGUAGGUUUGUUCCCUGUGAUGGUCCUUCUGAGCCCACUUAUUCAUUACUGAGCAGCAAGUGAGAGAACAAAAGGAAGAGGAACCUAUGGUUUUAGCACUUAAAAGCAAAAAAGCUAUCAGAAAUGUGCAGAUUAGAAGAGCAGAGCAGGAUAUCUGAUAGUGGAAAAGGUACAGAUUGCAGACAAGGAAAUGCUUAGGGGAGGUGUGAAGAAGGAAAGCCAAGGGCCUGGGGAAGCUGUGCAAAUCCAUGUGAUGGGGAGGGAGGCCCUUGGCCUUGUGUGAUGCUGCGGGUGGAGCAGCAGCCAAACAGCAUACUAAGAAAAGGAAAAAUAGCAUUAAACUGCAGGGAUGCAAAUACAGACUGUUUAUAAGAUGAUGGGGUGAUCAUAUGCCAGUACAAAAGCCCUGGGGAGGCCCCAAAGACAUGAGCUGGUGCUUACUGCGGCUGUAGUGCAGUGAUCUCCCCACAACCAUACUCCUAUAUUUUUCUGGAGUCUGUGAAGUUAGUAGCAGUGCAAUUAUAGCAAACCUGAACUGAAGUUAAUUACUUUUGUUACUAGCAAUCAGAUCAACUGCAUCAUUUUGAUAGAACUGAAUGCAUGACUGAAUGCAUGACCUGUAUUGAAAAAAAAAAAAUUGCUGGGUGGUGUUGACCACAAGGUUGAAUUGAACUUCAGUGCAGUUUCUUAUUGAUGAAUAUACUAUGGAUGUAACUGUGUAUAUAGUAAAAUAUAUAUGUGUUAAGUAUGUAAGAUGUACAACUAUGUGCCCCACAACACAUUUACAAAUGCUUGUUUCAGCUUUGUAAAAACACAAAUGUAAGUGAUUAACAGUGGUUUGAAGCAAAGCUGACUGAUAAAUUAGAAAAGGAAUUCAGUAUGCUUUUUUUAAAGCUGAAUUCUUGCACAAGAAGCUAAUUCAUAAUAUUGGGGGAAAAAAAAAUAGGAGGAACCACUCAGGAUCGCGGCCACUAUGGCAAAGUCUGUUAUUUUCUCUUUCCUUCCGGUCUCCAAGGUUUCACUCCUCCAUGUGACCCUAAAGAGUGGACACAAAAGAUAGGUAUUUGCUUGAAAGGCGAGAAAUAAUAAAAUAAUAUGUCUUGACUUUAAGUGGUUCCACACAGCACUGGCUCUUGAGUCUGAUUUUCUUGCCUGUCUACAUAUGGCCCUCUCUCAGUUCUUUUGCUAUUGUGUUCAGUGUCACUUUUGCUGAAGGGAAGUGGCUGAAAUGUCACUUUAACCAAACAUCUUGAGAUUUUAGAGGCAGUCCUGAACUUGAAGAGACUGAUUCUCGUGAGAAAAUCCUGCUGCUGGACAGGGAGAUGUAAAUCACAGCUGGCUUCCAAAAUUAGCCAGAAAACAGAUUUUUUGCAAAAUUGCGUAGACAGCAAAGCUGGGCUCUGACAGCCUGAGGAAUCCAGCUGCACCACGACAUAGGGCUGCACAGCUCACCUGCAUGCCUGCUGGAGAUGUUCUGCUGGUAUCAACCCAAAGGUUUUCGGUGUUGUUUUUUCUUUCUCUCAAAAGAUGCUAGAUAGAUUUGCCAUGGGACAACUUAGAGAGAGUAUGAUGCAAGCACACUGAUGUCGUCUGAUACCUGUGAAGCCAGAUAUUUUCUCCCACAUCUCAUACUAGAGAUGAGCAGACAAAAGGUGAAAGAGAGAACAGCAGAGAGACCAUCCACAGAGGGAGAUGGGCAAUUGUGAGAAGAGGUCGAGAACAGAAUAGGAAAGAAGGAGCGGCAGAGCUGAAGGCCAGCGGGAGGACAGAGGCCGUGAGUAGGAGGUGGACCCACUCAUCCCACACGUAAACUCUUUUCACUGAGGCAGCGGGGAGCAAUCUCUCUGAAAAGCACCUACCACAAGGAAGGCCUGACUCUUCCUGUGCCUUAAAGACAUGACUGAAACAGAGAUAUUCAGUCUCGAAACAAAAGCAGGCAAAGUGAAGUUACGAAUGUGACGGGCGUUUGACUGCAAAGGCUCACAAGUAGCACAGUGCUGGCUGUCCCCUUGAGUGAGAACUGCACCAUCAGGUAGCCCAAGUUGCACGUACAGUUACCCAAAAGAGUUCCUUCAUGUGAUUAUGAUCAGAGAAAUCUACUUUUAAAUUGAUCUUAGUCAAUAAGUAUCCCAAUAACAUUAUAUAGCUUGGGGCAAAAUCUGAGUCAACUUACUCUGCAAGAAUUCUAAAAUGUGCAAAAAUAAUUUCAUCCUCCUCCCUGGAAUUAGGCUCUUUCUGCUCUACAAAUUGCUCCCAUCUGGAAGGGACUAAACAUUGUGUUUUGAGAUUUCAAUAACUUUACUUCUUCUUUUCCUUUUUUAUUACAAAAAAUUUUGUUCAAACAAGAAAAAUUCAGAUAUAUUAUGAGACUCUUUGAAUAGGAUAGACAACUACUUCACUUAAAACAUGCUUCCAUGAAAUAGUUUGCUGCCUGUUUGUAGUUUGCUGCCCGUUAGCUUCCACAGUUUUUGUAUGCCUGGCAGGUAAUGGGAGGAGGGGGAGGAAGAGGAAGGGAGAGGGAAAGCAGAUCACCCAAGUGGUGUGAUUUGGUCGAAAGCUCCAGACCUGGAAAAUUUUUGCAUACUAACAUCUGAAACAGGUGAUUCUGGGCUCAUUUUGUGAGUGUGAGUUGCUGUGUGUCGACCUUAUGCUCCUGAGCCUUCUCAGAUGCGUAGCCAGAAGGGAUCUGGCAGUGUGUGAUUUUUUUUUACAUCUUUCAGCUAAAUCAGAGGUUCUAAUGCAAAAUGCACUCAGGGAUAGCAUAGGGAAUUGUGACACUCCCUGUAGGACUUUUCCAUAAACUAAUAAAUGGAUUACACUGAUCUUUGUAGUUUUUUCAUCUGUGACCGCUAAAAUGUGAAUAAAAUCUUCAUUUUAAUAUUUCAUAAUAAUCUUCAUUUAAUCAGCAAUCCAAGCAUAAUUUAUUGGAUAUCUCUUAGAUUAUUAUGAAUGAAGAUUUUAUGUGCCAGUUACAAAGGGCUGGGAAUAUGUACAUAGCUAAGUAAAGAAACUGAAAUUCACAUUAAUGGAGUGCAGAAAUCUGGAGCUGUAAACAGAGGGGGGAAAUGCAAGUAGCAACAGUGGGUAAAAGCAAGGGUAUUGCUCCACAUUUAAUGGCUGACUGUUUUAAGGUCCCCAGUCAUCUCCUCUGGUCAAUCAUUAACUGCUAGGAAAUGUCCUCCCAUUAGCUGUUAUUGCUUAACAACAAGUUAAUAAUACAUGUUUAACCAUAUUCAUUGUUUUUUUUAACUGCCCCAUAACUGGUAAGAGCACAUGAGCAAAUGAGAAUUAUAUCCACAGAGCUGAGACCCAAAGCAGAGGGAUGCAGGUACUCCAUCUCCUCUGGAGCAGCUGUGCUGCGCACCUGCCUGUGGGUCUUCACCAUGCUCUUACAUAGCUGUGAUGUACUUUGUCAGGGGUGGCUGCUGAAGUGUUUGCAACCAGGCAGAAACAGAAAAAGCCUGUGUUUGGAAACCUGAGGACUACAGAUUAUAGGGAAACUGAUCAUAUAAACUUGCAUUUUAUUGUUUAGAGUGUUGUUUUCUACUGCUUUACAGGUUUUCACGGACUUACUGGGAUUAUAAUGAAUUAAAACACAAUAAAAAAUAACCUGAUUAAGGUUAUUAAGAGGUUAUAUCAUCCUUAAGCCAUACAAAGGCUCAUGAAUAAAGGAGUGGCUGUCAGCUGAGAGGUCUGCACUAUGAUUAAAAACAUGAAAAAAAAACAAAAAUACUUUCUCACCUGGAAGGAUAAGACGAAGAUUUACUGUCAAAGAAUGUGCUGAAAAGUCCUUUUCUUCUGUGCAGCUCAGGCUGGAGAAUGUCCAAGGCAUUUUUUCAUAUCCAAAUAUGAAUGAAAUAGAAAGUACUAUGAUUUUUUGCUGUAGUUUGAAUAUUAGCAAGUGUUUGUUAUGAAGGACAGCAGCACACUGUGAUAUUAGCAAACUCAGAAAAAAAAAAAGAAAAAAAAAAGGUGGUCAUGUCUUCUAGAUUUUUCCAAGUUCAUUUUAUCUCACCAGAGCAAUGGAAAAUCAGUAUGAAAUUCCGCUAACCCAACCAUUCUGCUGUGCACAGAGAGUCAGAGUCUCUUAGCAAGCCCUAUAGUAUCGCAUCCAUUUAUUAAAGCCAGCCAGAUAAACUAACAGCUAUGUCACUCCUGCAGCAAGUUUCAGGAGGCCACAACUCCAUGAACCUGAAACUUUGACUGCUGACAAGAAGUUGCUUGAAGUGGAAGUGUUACAAAGAAGCCACCUUCCACACAGAAUCGCUGCCCUGGCUGCUGUCCCCAUCUGCUUGGCAGUGCUGUGGGGCAGGCGUGCCAGCAGGCUCUGAGCAGCAGGUCCCGCAUGCUGCUGUGUUCCUCAUCAAACGCCCUGUGCUGCAUGGAUGCCUUCCUCCAGGUACUGCGUGCUACAGACAGCCCUGGCUGUGAGUCUGACAGGCGUGUACUUGCCUAUGAUUGUAAUGAAGAUGCAACUGAAGAUGCAGGUAUCAUGCAUUCUCUUAGGGGAUUUUUUUUCUAAUUUCAGAUUCUAACUACUUUCUUCUGUGGCUGAUCGAUGUUGUAGCAAUUCACCCUCCCAGAUUUUUAUACCUGUGGCUGGCAAUGUUGGUUGAAGUAGAAAUGAGAGCAAAGCCCAUAUACAUCUUCCUACAAAGUUGUUGCACUUGUCCCAGCAUUCUGACUGUAAGUUUGACUGCAAUACCAGAUGCUUCUAAAUGGAUUAUAAUCUGCAUAAUCACAGCAGUGUGAGAUGUAGAACAGGAGACAGGGAAGCUACUACAGGAGAAAGGAUUACUGGUGCAUCUGACUUAAAAGCAGUAUCUUAUACCUUAUGCAUUGUAGGUAAAUCAUUCACAAAUUGUGCUCGGCCAGCUUUGCAACUUCUCAUCUGAAGGAGAAAAAUUACUGACUCCUGCAGUGUCAUUUUAUGCCCUCGUGCAUGAGAAAACUCUACUGCUAUUCACUUAAAUAACUCUUUCUUUUCUAUUUUUUUUUUCCUCCUUUCAGUCUUCUAUUUAUUCUAUUGGAAUUAAGCAUUUUCCUGCACUCCCAGAAGUACCCUCUGGCUAAACUCAUUUACCUGGCCUUGGUUCUGGCAUUGCCAGCACAUUCACUGUAAUUGCAGUGCUUUAUACUGUUUAUUACAACAUUGUACACUUUCAUGUACUGAGGGUGACAUCCAGGAGUGCUACAUUUAUGCUUUAAACAUAGACACCAAAAAGACUCAGAAAUGCUAAAGAUAAGAGUAUGCUUUGUUGCAAGCACAACAGCAGCAAGUUACAAAACUUCUUCAUCUUUAGCCCUCAAUAGUGGCAUGCUGCUGCAGCUAUAGGAAAGGCUGUGCAAGAGUAGGGAGCUGUGAUGCUCCAGCUGUGCCCCUGCAACUCAGUUACUUACAGCUGAGAUGACUCGUCCUCUUGGUUUUUCUGCAUCUUAGCAAUAACGGCAGAUAGCUGCUGUCGAGGCACCACGUCUGACUGCUGCAGACUGACUGCAUAGUACUUUUAGCAGCAUUAUUCACAGGAAUUACUAACUUCAGCCAUGAAGCUGUGCAGCUGAUUGCAGAACUCUGUUAUCUCACAUAAUAAAUUAGGUUUAUUAAACCAAGCCUUGAAUUAACUGUCUCAUUUGAAACUCAGUCUUAGGCUUUCAAGUCAUAUUUUUUUACAAAUUAACCUGAAAAUACUGAUGGCACGAGUAAUGUUGAGAAUAAUGUAUGUUUCCCUUGCUAUGGGGUAGAUCUUCAGCUUAUCUGAACAUGCCUAUGAGGGAUGUGAGCAGAGAAGUAAAGCAGAAUUUCAUGUGCCCAAAGCUGUGCCUGGUGCCCAUGUGCAAUGGGAACGCUGGGUGGGUGCAGGGAGAGGGGGACGUGCUCUUGAGAAGCAUCCCACGCUGUUAGUUUCUUCAUCUCUCCUCAGCUGGGCACAGGGUGUGGGCCUCCUUGAUCCUCAAUGUCUUUGAAGUGAUGCAAAUCUUGAGUGUGACUAAGCCGACUUUUUUCUUCCAGCUGGCAGUUUCACUCUGAACACUUCAGUCCAGCUAAAUCUGCAGAAGAGAAUGAAGGUGGAGACUUGUGCACAUCUGAAGCUGCUGUUUCUAGGUGGUCUUCAGGUUCACAUAGGCAGAGAUGAACAACCCCGAUCUGGGUGCAUGUGGGCAGCAGUGUGACGGGAGCCUGCACCAGAGCUCUGCUCCUUCUUUCUGGGAAGACCUGCUUUGGCAAGCAGAUUGGUUCUGCUUGCUCCUCUCUAUCAGGUCAAGUUCUUGGCUAUAAGAGAUUGGCCCAGGAACAAAAGGUGUUGUUCCUUACAGUGCUUGCACAUUUCCUGACUGACCUCUUCUUCCUCAUCUGACUUGAAAGAAAAGAUGCCAGCAUUGAUCUUCGGAUGAACACGAGUACUGUGGAUUUUGUAAAUUUCAGAAUGUGAAUUAGGCUUAAUAAAGGUCUGGAAGCAAAGGCAAAGAACAAUAUUGUCUGCUGGCCUGUUUUUGGUAUGUAAGCAAUGAAGCACCUGAAGGAAAACAGAACAAAUGACUAGUUAAUAUCAUUAACUAGGGAAAAAAUAGCCUCAGUUCUUCUUAGAGUAUAAAAUGGUUGUACGUGGGAAUUGUGGAAAGACCAGCCAUCACUAUUUUACCUAAAAGUUGUCGUCGUGGAGCUUGGAACUCUGUCACGCUGGUGUGUGUACAAACAUGCGGUCUCCCAUCCCAAGGAGGAUCAAAAGAACUCCACAGCUGCAAGAGGAGAAACAGCUCUUUCUCUUAAUUUACAUACAUGAAACCGAGAAGAAGCUCCAAAGAGUUUGAUGCCUCUGUGUUACAAAGCAGAAGACUCCUGGGCUUCCAGUAAGACUCUAAGAUUGUUUAGCACUGUCUUCAUCCACUAGUUUGCCAAAAACAGUUAAACUUAAAUAAAUAAAUAAAUAAAUAAAAUAACAUAAAUUUGGAGUAAAAAAUUAUAAAGGAAAUAUUUUACAUAACACAUAGAUUCACCAAUAGGACAUAAAAUUAUUGCAAUUAUUUUCAUAUCGUUUUUAAAAGCACAAUAGCUAUUUUUUUAAGAGCAUGGAUUUGAAGUAAGAAAAUCAUGAUGGAAGCCUGUCAGCCAUGACACCCUGUGUCCCUGGGAGAAGGCAGUGUGACCCUGUUACGAUAUCACCUGAGUACCAGAUGCAAGACCACUAUAGAUGUGGUAGGAAACUGUGGGAUGAUACUGUCAAAUCUGUUGAUCUGCUAAUGUGUACAUACUUAAAUAUAUGUAACUUCUCUUAGCCUUUCUGUCAGCAGGGAGCUUCUUCAGACAAUUUAAAUGUAAUUGUCUCUAUAUCCUAUACUUUCACAUUAAAAAACAAUGUGUUCUGGAA
This is a long non-coding RNA of Gallus gallus (chicken), 14571 nucleotides long. RefSeq lists it as uncharacterized. The record is from RefSeq and is a predicted model, not a curated record. The transcript is spliced from 15 exons. NCBI's taxonomy places the organism in Eukaryota, Metazoa, Chordata, Aves, Galliformes, Phasianidae.